Molecule: ribosomal RNA, 434 nt
Filed under: uncultured bacterium
Lineage: Bacteria
Description: bacterial SSU rRNA
Rfam family: Bacterial small subunit ribosomal RNA
Source: RNAcentral
AUUAACGCUGGCGGUGUGUCUAAUACAUGCAAGUCGAACGAGUGUAGCAAUACACUAGUGGCGGACGGGUGAAUAACACGUUGGAAUCUGCCUUGCACUCAGGGAUAACCACGAGAAAUCGUAGCUAAUACCGGAUGGUCCCGAAAGGGUAAAGAUUUAUCGGUGCAAGAAGAGCCUGCGGCUUAUCAGCUUGUUGGUGGGGUAAUGGCCUACCAAGGCUAUGACGAGUAGCUGGUCUGAGAGGAUGAUCAGCCACAAUGGGACUGAGACAAGGCCCAUACUCCUACGGGAGGCAGCAGUAAGGAAUCUUUCGCAAUGGGGGAAACCCUGACGAAGCAACACCGCGUGAUCGAUGAAGCUCUUUUGAGUGUAAAGAUCUUUUCUGGGGGAAGAAUUCUGACGGUACCCUAGGAAUAAGCACCGGCUAACUCCGU